GCUCUGGUAACUCAGCAGGUAGAGUGCAUGGCUGUUAACCAUGUUGUCGCAGGUUCAAGUCCUGCCCAGGGCG
This 73-nucleotide transfer RNA is filed under the name archaeon. RNAcentral's name for it is "tRNA-Asn". It matches the Rfam family "tRNA". From Rfam's summary of the family: Transfer RNA (tRNA) molecules are approximately 80 nucleotides in length. The record is from RNAcentral. RNAcentral also lists the same sequence under 1 other name.